RNAcentral lists this ribosomal RNA (497 nucleotides) under uncultured bacterium. Its description in RNAcentral is "partial 16S ribosomal RNA". It matches the Rfam family "Bacterial small subunit ribosomal RNA", at positions 28 to 507 of the family's 1533-position model. The record is from RNAcentral.
GAUGAACGCUGGCGGCGUGCCUAAUACACGCAAGUCGAGCGAACGGACGAGAAGCUUGCUUUUCUGAUGUUAGCGGCGGACGGGUGAGUAACACGUGGAUAACCUACCUAUAAGACUGGGAUAACUUCGGGAAACCGGAGCUAAUACCGGAUAAUAUUUUGAACCGCAUGGUUCAAAAGUGAAAGACGGUCUUGCUGUCACUUAUAGAUGGAUCCGCGCUGCAUUAGCUAGUUGGUAAGGUAACGGCUUACCAAGGCAACGAUGCAUAGCCGACCUGAGAGGGUGAUCGGCCACACUGGAACUGAGACACGGUCCAGACUCCUACGGGAGGCAGCAGUAGGGAAUCUUCCGCAAAGGGCGAAAGCCUGACGGAGCAACGCCGCGUGAGUGAUGAAGGUCUUCGGAUCGUAAAACUCUGUUAUUAGGGAAGAACAUAUGUGUAAGUAACUGUGCACAUCUUGACGGUACCUAAUCAGAAAGCCACGGCUAACUACGUG